AUGAUGGUGGUGGCAACUACGAGCCCCGACGGGCUAGAGGCGCUGCAGGUGCGCGAGGUCGAGGAUCUCUCGGCGCCGGGGGAGGGCAAGCUGCUUGUCGGGGUGGCCGCUGCCGGCGUCAAUCGCGGCGACACGGUCCAGCGGCAGGGCCGGUACUCGCCGCCGGUCGGCGCCUCCCCCUACCCGAGGCUUGAGUGCUCCGGCACCAUCGUCGCGCUCGGGGCCAACACCCCCCGCGCUGGGCCGUCGGUACCAGGUGCCAAGCGUGCCCCCAUGGUGAAUUUGCUGAUGGCCGCAGCUGCUCUGAACCUCACUUUUUUUGCAUAUGCUGUUGCAUUUGCAGGUGUACGCGCUGCUUACCGGCGGCGGAUCCAUGGUGGAUCUAGUGGAAUCAGUACAUUCACUAUACAGAAUGCAAAGCACCUUGGAAAUGUACACAUGAGACAUCAUUCUUUAUACACCGAUCGACGUGUUAACGUUGCAGAGACAACAUCUCUGCUGCUCUAG
RNAcentral lists this ribosomal RNA (507 nucleotides) under Triticum aestivum (bread wheat). RNAcentral describes it as "partial small subunit ribosomal RNA". The record is from RNAcentral. Lineage: Eukaryota; Viridiplantae; Streptophyta; Magnoliopsida; Poales; Poaceae.